RNAcentral lists this ribosomal RNA (494 nucleotides) under uncultured bacterium. RNAcentral describes it as "partial 16S ribosomal RNA". It matches the Rfam family "Bacterial small subunit ribosomal RNA", at positions 28 to 523 of the family's 1533-position model. The record is from RNAcentral.
GAUGAACGCUGGCGGCGUGCCUAACACAUGCAAGUCGAGCGGUAUAUAUCUUAGCAAAUCUUCGGAAGAGCGAAGGUAUAGAGAGCGGCGGACGGGUGAGUAACGCGUAGGCAACCUGCCCCAUACAGAGGGAUAGCCUCGGGAAACCGGGAUUAAAACCUCAUAACGCGAAAGGUUCACAUGGACUUUUCGCCAAAGAUUUAUCGGUAUGGGCUGGGCCUGCGUCUGAUUGGCUAGUUGGUGGGGUAACGGCCUACCAAGGAGACACUCAGUAGCCGAACUGAGAGGGUAAUCGGACACAUUGGAAGUGAGACACGGACCAAACGCCUACGGGCGACAGCAGUGGGGAAUAUUGCACAAUGGGAGAAAGCCUGAUGCAGCAACGCCGCGUGAGCGAUGAAGGCCUUCGGAUUGUAAAGCUCUUUUGCCAGGGACGAUAAUGACGGUACCUGGAGAAUAAGCCCCGGCAAACUUCGUGCCAGCAGCCGCCGCAG